GACGAACGCUGGCGGCGUGCCUAAUACAUGCAAGUAGCACGCUGAAGAGAGGAGCUUGCUCUUCUUGGGGGAGUUGGGAACGGGUGAGUAACGCGUAGGUAACCUGCCUUGUAGCGGGGGAUAACUAUUGGAAACGAUAGCUAAUACCGCAUAACAAUGGAUGACACAUGUCAGUUAUGUGAAAGGGGCAAUUGUUCCACUAUUGGAUGGACUGGCGGUGUAUUAGCUAGUAGGUGAGGUAAUGGCUUACCAAGGAGAGGACGGAGAGGCGGCCUGGGAGGGGGACCGGCCACAUUGGGGCUGAGUGACGGCCCAGACUGCUACGGGAGGCAGCAGUGGGGAAUAUUGCACAAUGGGCGGAAGCCUGAUGCAGCAACGCCGCGGGCGGGAGGACGGCCUUCGGGUUGGAAACCGCUUUCAGCAGGGGCGAAGCUUGUGGUGACGGUACCUGCAGAAGAAGCACCGGCUAACUACGUG
This 477-nucleotide ribosomal RNA is filed under the name uncultured bacterium. Its description in RNAcentral is "partial 16S ribosomal RNA". It matches the Rfam family "Bacterial small subunit ribosomal RNA", at positions 28 to 507 of the family's 1533-position model. The record is from RNAcentral.